UCUUGGGUCGGGUUAGGUUGGGCAAAAUAGAGAUCCAAAGAUGGGUCGGGUUGGGUCGGGUAUACCCGAAAUCCAUCUUCUAUCUCUUCUGAUCAAAAAUUCUGAGCCACUCAGAACUCCGAUCAAAAAUCCUGAGCUCCUCCGAUCUCUGUAAAAAAAAAAUAAAGAUAAAUAAAAAAAAGAUCAAACUGUGUGAGAAAAAAUCUUAUCUUAAUCGUCUAAUCGGGUGGGAGGCCAGAGGUAGG
RNAcentral lists this long non-coding RNA (245 nucleotides) under Elaeis guineensis (African oil palm). Its description in RNAcentral is "long non-coding RNA (EGUI_LNC022713)". Lineage: Eukaryota; Viridiplantae; Streptophyta; Magnoliopsida; Arecales; Arecaceae. The record is from RNAcentral.